Molecule: ribosomal RNA, 1542 nt
Filed under: Salmonella enterica subsp. enterica
Lineage: Bacteria; Pseudomonadati; Pseudomonadota; Gammaproteobacteria; Enterobacterales; Enterobacteriaceae
Description: bacterial SSU rRNA
Rfam family: Bacterial small subunit ribosomal RNA
Source: RNAcentral
AAAUUGAAGAGUUUGAUCAUGGCUCAGAUUGAACGCUGGCGGCAGGCCUAACACAUGCAAGUCGAACGGUAACAGGAAGCAGCUUGCUGCUUCGCUGACGAGUGGCGGACGGGUGAGUAAUGUCUGGGAAACUGCCUGAUGGAGGGGGAUAACUACUGGAAACGGUGGCUAAUACCGCAUAACGUCGCAAGACCAAAGAGGGGGACCUUCGGGCCUCUUGCCAUCAGAUGUGCCCAGAUGGGAUUAGCUAGUUGGUGAGGUAACGGCUCACCAAGGCGACGAUCCCUAGCUGGUCUGAGAGGAUGACCAGCCACACUGGAACUGAGACACGGUCCAGACUCCUACGGGAGGCAGCAGUGGGGAAUAUUGCACAAUGGGCGCAAGCCUGAUGCAGCCAUGCCGCGUGUAUGAAGAAGGCCUUCGGGUUGUAAAGUACUUUCAGCGGGGAGGAAGGUGUUGUGGUUAAUAACCGCAGCAAUUGACGUUACCCGCAGAAGAAGCACCGGCUAACUCCGUGCCAGCAGCCGCGGUAAUACGGAGGGUGCAAGCGUUAAUCGGAAUUACUGGGCGUAAAGCGCACGCAGGCGGUCUGUCAAGUCGGAUGUGAAAUCCCCGGGCUCAACCUGGGAACUGCAUUCGAAACUGGCAGGCUUGAGUCUUGUAGAGGGGGGUAGAAUUCCAGGUGUAGCGGUGAAAUGCGUAGAGAUCUGGAGGAAUACCGGUGGCGAAGGCGGCCCCCUGGACAAAGACUGACGCUCAGGUGCGAAAGCGUGGGGAGCAAACAGGAUUAGAUACCCUGGUAGUCCACGCCGUAAACGAUGUCUACUUGGAGGUUGUGCCCUUGAGGCGUGGCUUCCGGAGCUAACGCGUUAAGUAGACCGCCUGGGGAGUACGGCCGCAAGGUUAAAACUCAAAUGAAUUGACGGGGGCCCGCACAAGCGGUGGAGCAUGUGGUUUAAUUCGAUGCAACGCGAAGAACCUUACCUGGUCUUGACAUCCACGGAAGUUUUCAGAGAUGGAAUUGUGCCUUCGGGAACCGUGAGACAGGUGCUGCAUGGCUGUCGUCAGCUCGUGUUGUGAAAUGUUGGGUUAAGUCCCGCAACGAGCGCAACCCUUAUCCUUUGUUGCCAGCGAUUAGGUCGGGAACUCAAAGGAGACUGCCAGUGAUAAACUGGAGGAAGGUGGGGAUGACGUCAAGUCAUCAUGGCCCUUACGACCAGGGCUACACACGUGCUACAAUGGCGCAUACAAAGAGAAGCGACCUCGCGAGAGCAAGCGGACCUCAUAAAGUGCGUCGUAGUCCGGAUUGGAGUCUGCAACUCGACUCCAUGAAGUCGGAAUCGCUAGUAAUCGUGGAUCAGAAUGCCACGGUGAAUACGUUCCCGGGCCUUGUACACACCGCCCGUCACACCAUGGGAGUGGGUUGCAAAAGAAGUAGGUAGCUUAACCUUCGGGAGGGCGCUUACCACUUUGUGAUUCAUGACUGGGGUGAAGUCGUAACAAGGUAACCGUAGGGGAACCUGCGGUUGGAUCACCUCCUUA